AAGGGAGACCUAAUUCAGGUAGGAGACGAAAAAAAAGUAGUCCCAGCCAAGAAUCAAUCCCAAAAGGUCGGAGCGAGGCGAAAUUGGCUUUCAAACUAGGUUCUGGGUUCACACAAGACCUGAAUCAGGAACAAGGGCUAUUAGCUCAGGUGGUUAGAGCGCACCCCUGAUAAGGGUGAGGUCCCUGGUUCGAGUCCAGGAUGGCCCACCUGUACAGGUGGCAAAAAGAAAGAAAAGAAGCGAGGAAUCAGCACCUUAUCUUACUGACAUAGUAAGAGAGAAUGCUGGCUCUGAGUAAAGAGUCCAGAGGAACCUUGAAAACUGCAUAGAGCUAGGUGAAAAAGCCAAAAAAGAAGACCGCAA
RNAcentral lists this transfer RNA (363 nucleotides) under uncultured Microcystis sp. RNAcentral describes it as "partial 16S-23S ribosomal RNA intergenic spacer". The stretch from base 135 to 208 matches the Rfam family "tRNA". Lineage: Bacteria; Bacillati; Cyanobacteriota; Cyanophyceae; Chroococcales; Microcystaceae. The record is from RNAcentral.